This 630-nucleotide long non-coding RNA is filed under the name Ananas comosus (pineapple). Its description in RNAcentral is "long non-coding RNA (ACOM_LNC012873)". The record is from RNAcentral. Lineage: Eukaryota; Viridiplantae; Streptophyta; Magnoliopsida; Poales; Bromeliaceae.
CGUGUACAAAUUAUAUAUAUAUAUUAGGAGUGAGGCUACUAUGCUUCUGGAAUCACGGAGCCUUCCGUACUUCCAGGUCGUUUUUUAUAUUGCGACUUUCGAAUCGUCGAUCGGCUCCGUUAAACUUGAUCUAGAGUAUUUGAAGUAUCUAGAAAAUAAAUUAUGCGUUUUUUCGAUAUUAUUUGCUUAGUAAACGAAGGAGCUCAAAAUCAAUGGCUGAAAAUAAAAAUCUUACAAAACUUGAUAAUAUGACAUUAAAAUUUUAGAUCAAAGAUAUUGAUCUUGUUUUAUAUAGUAUAAAAAAUUUUCUAUCAAAAUUUCACGUGAUUUGGAUAUUUCUACGCCGUUAAACUUGCAAACGGCUCACUACAGCUAUUAAAAUUAUUGAUUUUGAGCUCCUUCGAUCACUAGGUAAAUGAUAUCGAAAAAUCAUAAAAUUUAUUUAUUUUCUAUGUACUUCAAAUACUCUAGAUCAAGUUUAACGGAACCGAUCGACGAUUCGAAAGUCGCAAUAUUGAAAACGACCUGUAAGUACGGAAGGCUCAAUUUUUCCAAAAGUAUAGUAGCCUCACUCUAUAUAUUAGAUGUUGUUCAUAACUUAUCUUUGGAUUGUGAUUUAGGAUACAUAUA